AUCUUCCUAGUAUUCAAUGUUAGUAUAAGUGACUUCCAAUCACCUGGUCUUGGUUAAAAUCCAAGGGAAGAUA
This 73-nucleotide transfer RNA is filed under the name Cirripectes polyzona (barred blenny). Its description in RNAcentral is "tRNA-Gly". It matches the Rfam family "tRNA". From Rfam's summary of the family: Transfer RNA (tRNA) molecules are approximately 80 nucleotides in length. RNAcentral also lists the same sequence under 1 other name. Lineage: Eukaryota; Metazoa; Chordata; Actinopteri; Blenniiformes; Blenniidae. The record is from RNAcentral.